UCACCACCCGACUUGAGCCAUGUGCACUCUUUAACAAACGAAUUCACCUAUUUGCAGAACCUUGAUUUAUGUUUGUGUUCACAAGUUCAUUUUGCGGUCGUCGAGCCCUUCUUAUGAUUCCAGUAUCACCAUCAGCAGAUACAUUACAAUUUCUUGGUUCCUCAUAAUCAUUAACUACAUUGCUCACUUGGCCCAUGCUAACAUCGGAUGAAAAGGUCAUCUGGGCAUCAUUUUGAUUUUGAAAUAACCCAACAUUUCCCUUCUGCUCAACGGCACUAUGGUCAAAGGGGACGCCAACGGUGCUGAAAAACUCUGGCGCUGUCCCCAAAGGAACAUUCCUGUCCAUUGCCUCCUCAGGAUAUGGAACUUGCAUAGACUGCAGCAUACAUACAAUUAGACUAUCAUUAAAAAGGAGACACAAGAAAAUCGUGUUACAGCCAGAGUUGACACUAGGAGUUAGGAAGCUACCACAUGUUACCAUCAUGGCAGAACCUACCCGGAAAGACAAAGCAAAAGCGUUAAAGCUGUGUUUACUCACAGGCAUAUUGGUUACUUUUAAAUCUGAGUCACUACCCCAUCCGCUGUCCUUAACAUUAAACAAGGGGUAGUUCAUUGGUUGACUUCCGGUCUCCUCAUAGGAGAGUUGAUCCGAAGUAAGUGACUCGAAAAGGUCUGAAAUACCUGUCUCAUUUGUACCAUAUUGAAGCCCACUUAGACCAUCUGGUUCAUUGCUUGCUUGAUAAUCAAAUACUUGUGGAAGAUGCACAAGUGCCGGGGAGAAUAAUAUGUCAUCAAAUAGAUCAUUUUCUAGAUCAGAAAAUAUGUCCGAGUUCAACAGCUGAUUCUCCUGUAGGGAACAUCGUGUAAAAAUACACAGAUCAAUAAACCAAAUAAGGGAGAAUGAAAACAAUAAAAGAAAUGAAGGAAUCUAUCUAUACAGAUCAAAGAUUAACACAGUUAGGCCAUCUAACCUCUAGAGCCAGUUUUACAUUCUGAGGUUGGGCAUUAUGAGCAUCAUAUUCAUCACUAUUGCGAUCAACUGGUGUUAUAAUGUUGGAUGUUGUUUCCUCAGAGGUCUCACGGAUAAUUGCCUGGGUCUUAUCUUCUGUAAGCAGUGAUGAGGAUACAGCAACAGGAGGUAGAGGAGUAUCGGAUUGUACAUCUUCAGGAGAAUACUUGGCAGCCAUAGGAGUUGAAGCUGUCUUCUCCACUUCACCACAGUUUGAAACUUCAAUGCUCUCAUCUUGUUUCUUAAAUAAUCGACAAAUGACAUAUGGAUUCUGGUCCAAGUCAAAUAGACCAAAUUGACAAUUUAGUAACUAUCAUCAUAUUCAUAUAAUUCAUUAGCUAGUAAGUUGCAAUAACAGUACAGAAAUUAAUAAUUACAAAUUAGUUGAAGUAAUGAAUAAGGAUUAAGGAACAAGAAUGCAAGAGCGUAGUCUAAGAACCUUCACAAGAAUCUAAAGCCCUUGUUCUUUAUAAUACAAAUAAUUAUAAGGGGGAAUUAUUUCUAAGAGAGAUUUGUAUGCAAUGUCACAGAGGUUGAUCUCAAACUCAACAAACAAGAGCUUCAGAUAGAGAUAUAAGAUCUUGAAGGCGUAUCAGAUUUAAAAACAUGAGAUUUCAGCUUCAGCGAGUAGGAACAAAGCAACCCUUAAAUAAAAAGGGAAUGAGACUCAGACACAAGAAACAAAACAAUAAUAAAAAAUUCACAAAAUUGUAUAGCUAUUGGAAUUCACAAAGAUCCAAUGUCAACUAAAAUCCCAUGAUAAUGAAGACACAUUAAAAAACUAAUGUAACAUAAUCAAGAGAAUCGACCUGUCCAGGAUUGGUACCAUCAAGCUCCUGCAAGGUGGGCUGGUACUCAUGCAUCACCCAAUUUGUCCUCUUCCCUCUGGGUGCACGCCCAUUAUAGAAUACCAAAGUCUUCUUUAUUCCAAUCAAGCUGGACCCAGACUUGACUUUACGAUCCCUGCCUGUUGCUUUCCAAAAUCCAUGUUCUGUUGCUCGGUUCACUAGAUUCCCAUUUGGAUACUUCCUGUCCUGUGGACAGAAGAAGAACCACUCCGGAUCCUUGUUCCGUAUCACUGACAAAUCUGCAACAAAACCAAACCACCACCCAAGAAAUUAAUAAAUAAAAAAUAGCAAAUAAAAUAACAUAACCACCUCAAACUCCAAGCCUACUAGCUCUUACAGAGCAGCCCCACACUCAUACUUGUAAUCAAAAUAAGCACUCAGGGGUAAGUACAUAACAAUCAAAUUUAUAAACAUAGUUUAUGAAUUAUGAUAUACCCUUUCAGCUUACUUAAGCUUCAAUAUUGAGUACUGGUUAAGCUAUUCUGAUAUAAUCUCUCAUGUAAUGAACUCAUUGAACCAACGACAGCUCUAUUAAUAGCAAGUUGUGAUUGGUGGUGGCACAUAAUCCAAAGUACAAUAACUCCAUAAGCUAGACUUCUACUAUGUUUGGAUCAGAUUAUCUUUCAUCUAAAUCAAAUCUGAAACCGAGAAGCUUGUUCCCAGAUUUGAUUCGGACAAUUUUAGAAGAAUUUCUAAGUGCAUGUUUGGAAAUGCUUCUUCCCAGAAUUGAUUCAUCAGAAGCAAUUGUAGAAGUAUUUCUAAGUACAUGUUUGGAAACUCGUUUGAAGACCACCAUGAAGCAAAAAAUCAUGGUGGAUGGAAGCAACUUCUCUUAAUUUUUGCAUCUGUCCGCCGUGAUUUUGGUUUCACAGUGAUUUUCAAAAACGGUCUAAACACAUGAUCAGUGCAUAUUAAAAUCAGAAUUUGCAUGUCUUGAAAUUUUGAACUUCACUGAAUCAGCGAGAGAAAAAAAGUACCGGGUAAAUCCCAGGGCUCCCAUUUGCAGACAUCGAUUUCUCGGAUAACCCAAACAUCAUCACCAUUACCGUUGAUCUUCUGCCUGAGGUAGAAAUCGAUGAUUUCCUCAUCCGAUGGCCGGAAUCGGAUCGCAAUCGGCAGAGAAUUCAAAGACAACACCGGCUUGGAUGUUGUUUCCUCUGAGGUCUCAGGGAUAAUUGGCUUGGGUUUAACAUUUUCUGUAAGCAGUGACGAGGAUAAAGCAACAACAGGUAGAGGAGUAUCGGAUUGUACUUCUUCAGGACAAUACUUGGCAGCAAUAGGAGUUGAAGCUGUCUGCUCAACUUCACCACAGUUUGAAACUUCAAUGCUCUCAUCAUGUUUCUUAAAUAAUCGACAAAUGACAUAUGGAUUCUGGUACAAGUCAAAUAGACCAAAUUGACAAUUUAGUAACUAUCAUCAUAUUCAUAUAAUGCAUUAGCUAGUAAGUUGCAAUAGCAGUACGGUCGGAAAUUAAUAAAUACAAGUUAGUUGAAGUAAUGCAUAAGGAUUAAGGAACAAGAAUGCAAGAGCAGUCUAAGAACCUUCACAAGAAUAUGAAGCCUUUGUUCUUUAUAUUCCAAAUAAUUGUAUGCAAUGUCACAGAGGUUGAUCUCAAACUCAACAAACAAGAGCUUCAGAUAGAUAUAAGACCUUGAAGGCGUAUCAAAUUUAAAAGCAUGAGUUUUCAGCUUCAGCAAGUAGUAACAAAGCAACCCUUAAAUAAAAAGGGAAUGAGACUAAGACACAAGAAACAAAACAAUGACAAAAGAAUUCACAAAAUUGUAUAGCUAUUGCAAUUCACAAAGAUCCAAUGUCAACUAAAACGCCAUGCUAACAAAGACACAUAAAAAAACUAAUGUAACAUAAUCAAGAGAGUCGACCUGUCCAGGAUUGGUGCCAUCAAGCUCCUGCAGGGUGGUCCGGUACUCAUGCAUCACCCAGUUGGUCCUCUUCCCUUUGGGUGCACGACCAUGAUAGAAUACCAAAGUCUUCUUCAUUCCAAUCAAGCUGGACCCAGACUUGAUUUUACGAUCAAUGCCCGUUGCCUUCCAAUACCCAUGUCCUGUUGCUCGCUUCAAACGAUUCCCAUUCGGAUACUUCCUGUCCAGUGGACAGAAGAAGAACCACUCCGGAUCCUUGUUCCUUAUCACUGAAAAAUCUGCAACAUAACCAAACCACCACCCAAGAAAUUAAUAAAAAAAAAUUGCAAAUAAAAUAACAUAACCACCUCAACCUCCAAGGCUGCCAGCUCUUACAGAGCAGCCCCACACUCAUACUUGUCAUAAUAAUAAGCACUCUGAGGUAAGUAAAUGCAAAUCAAAUUUAUAAAAAUAGCUUAUGAAUUAUGAUAUACCCUUUCAUCUUACUUAAGCUUCAAUAUUAAGUACUGGUUAAGCUAUUCUGAUAUAACCUCUCAUGUAAUAAACUCAUUUAAGCAACACCAGCUCGAUUAAUAGCAAGUUAUGAUUGGUGGUGGCCCAUAAUCCAAAGUGCAAUAAAUCCAUAAGCUAGACUUUUACUAUGUUUGGAUCAGAUUAUCUUUCAUCUAAAUCAAUUCUGAAACCGGGAAGCUUCUUCCCAGAUUUGAUUCGGACUUCAGAAUCAAUUGUAGAAGAGUUUCUAAGUACAUGUUUGGAAAUUCGUUUGAAAACCACCGUGAAGCAAAAAAUCAUGGUGGAUAGAAGCAACUUCUCUUAGUUUUUGCUUCCGUCCGCCGUAAUUUUGGUUUCACCGUGAUUUUCAAAAAAGUUUCCAAACAUGCAUGCCACUUUUCUAUAUGGGGCUUCACAUCGCUGAACCAAAAAAACUUUAAAUCCUCAUUUCACAAAUCAGAUUCACACUAAGAUCAAUUCCAUUCCUUUAAAAGCAACAAAAACAAUCUAAACACAUGAUCAAUGCAUAUUAAAAUCAGAAUUUGCAUGUCUUGACAUUUUGAACUUUACUAAAUCAGCGAGAGAGAAAAUGUACCAGGUAACUCCCAGGGCUCCCAUUUGCAGACAUCGAUUUCUCGGAUAACCCAAACAUCAUCACCAUUAUUGUUGAUCUUCUGCCGGAGGUAUAAAUCGAUGAUGUCCUCAUCCGAUGGCUGGAAUCGGAACCCUAACGGCAAAGAAUUCAGAGACAACACCGGCAUCGCCGUCUCAACCACACCCAUUAACACAAAAAAGGGAAAACCAAAAUUGAGAUAGAGUAAAGGUGGAAACUUUGGAUGGAAUGAACCUGGAUCAAAUAUAAAGAGUUGAAAACCUAAGCAGAUGCUGACGUGGCUAGUGUAGAGUGUAAUAUAGAGAUAAUUUGGCGGCGUCAUAAUCCGCACUUUAGGAUUUAUAUAUUAUAAUAGAUAGAUUCGGAUAACAAUUGUUAAAUCCUAACACUCUAUUUUGUUAGUGAGUAUGGAGUAAGCCAAAGGAAUGAGCCUAAUUAAACGGUUUUGUUUUUAGGCAUCAUGCAUACAUGACUAUCAUUAUGUAUGAAGCCUUUUAUUGUGUUAGAACAUGUAUAAAGCAUGAUUAGUUUGUCCAUGAAAAGAAAGUGUUAAAGAAAUUAUUCGGUCAAUGACAUUAAUAUUUUUAACAUAAUUCCUUUUCAGUUGUAUCUCUAAUAGAUAUAAAUAUGUUUCAUGAUUUUAGCGCAUUGAAAUGCUAAAAAGUAGCACAUCUCAUUUUGAGCACCUUCCCCUUCAGCUGCUCAGCACAGGCCUCAUAGUGCAUAUUUACAUUAAGUUCCACAGUAACUGGGUGACUAACCUGGAACAGAAGCCAAUUAGUAAUGAUUCAUUAACCAAUAGCCGGAAGGGGGUGGGGGGAAACAAAAAAAAAAAGUGAUAUUAUACCUGAGAAUUAACAAAUUCUGGCACAGGUUCUCCUUCUGCUUCAGGCAAUAGAGAUAUAACUUUGGCUAGUCUUUUUGUUUUCUUGGUAAUUAUGUUGCAGAUUGCCUGAGGCUCCACUGUUCCUUUUAUCAUCACUUCAUUUUUAGUCAUAUCAAUCACAACUCUCUCAACUCCUGUUUAAUAGAGUAUAAUAGACUAUUUUCUGCAGAUCAAUCACAACACUCUAAUCUCUCAUUUUAGUCAUAUCAUACAUGAUGAUAGUCAUGUAUGCAUGAUCCCUAAAAAUCUAAAACCGUUAAUUUAGCCUCAUUCCUUUGGCUUACUCCAUCCUCCUCACUAACAAAAUAGAGCGUUAAGAUUUAACAAUUGUUAUCCGAAUCUAUAUAUUAUGUUUUUCUCAAAAAAAAAAUUAUAUAUAAAUCCUAAAGCGCCGAUUAUGAUGCCGCCAAAUCAACUCUAUAUUACACUCUACACUUGGCACGUCAGCAUCUGUUUAGGUUUUCAUUUCUUUAUAUUUGAUCUAGGUCCAUUCCGUCCAAAGUUUCCACCUUUAUUCUAUCUCAAUUUUGCUUUUCCCUUUUUUGUGUUAAUAGGUGCAUUGAGACGGCGGUGCCGGUGUUGUCUUUGAAUUCUCUGCCAUUAGGGUUCCGAUUCUCGGAUGAGGAAAUCAUUUAUCUAUACCUCAUUGCGUUUUUAAUUUCAUAAAAUUAUCCGGGCUUCUGUAUGUUCUCCAAAAAUACUGGACCAACAUAAAAAGAAUGCUGCAGCAGAAUGAAUAAUAUUAUUAAAACAUCAAUUUCACAAUUACAGCAACCUGCCUACCUUUUUUUUUAUAAGCCAAAGAAUAUAUUGAAAAGAAGUACAAGCGAUACUUCACCCCAAUAGAGUAGCAAAGACAGUUUAAAACAGCCAUUGGAAUUACAUCCCACAGAGAACUUAAAACCCCUUGGAGGCAAGGCUUUUAAGGAUAUGCCUCACUAAAACCUUACUAGGCCUACUUACAUACAGGAAAUUGCAGGCAAGAAAUAAUGUCCUAAAAUAUGUAAAAUGCUACUAUUACAGUAAGAUGAAUCAACAAAUAGCAAGUAGGGUUCAACUUCAAAAGGCAUCUGAUAUAUAUACCUAAUUUGACUAGAUGGAAAUGACACAUCAAUUUAUUUGGAUCAACAAAUAACUCCAUCAUGGCAGACUACUCUUCAACACCACCUCAUGUUUAUCAAAAGUUCAUCCACCCAAAUAAGAGAAUUUGAAAAGAACCUGAAGUUUAUCUUGGCGCUGAUGCAGCAACUUUGCAGCCCCAAGAAGCAUUGUGGUGUGAGCAUCAUGUCCACAAGCAUGCAUUCUGCCAUCAAACCACAAACAAAACAGUAAUUUUUUUCCCUAAAGCAGAUGAAGAAGCUAAAGUGGGGUUACCUGCAAAGGGAGUGCAUCCGUGACAGCACGAAUUGCAAUGAUGGGACGAGUACCAGAGCCAAUUUGGGCAAGAAUCCUCGUUUCGGCAACUGGGUAUGUGUAAGGUAUGCCAAGCUUGUCAAGUUCACUGGUGUUGUGCUCUUGGAAACCCAGUUCUGGGUGCUAUGAAUCUCCCUUCUCACCUGAACCAACCGAUCUUUUUCCUUGUUGGCUGCAUAGGUUUCUUCAUCCCCUUCAUACCUCACCACAGCAGAAAGGCAAAUGCAGGACAGAAACACAACAAGCACGUUAAUGGCUACCAUCAAACAUUCUAGAUCAUGGGUUCUUUCAUCUCUUUCAAAGUAACAGAUGUGGGAAAUUAUGCACAGAACUCAGAGGUCAAAAACAAAGCUUGGGAAGUGAAAUAAUUCAUAUCUGCUAUCAUUUGACUAUCAAAAUUGUUAAAAUGUCUUGUUGAUACCUUAAUCAUUAAGGUGGAAAGAGGUGGAUAAGGCAAAGAGACAAAAUAGAAAAUAUGAGAUUUGAUUUUUUUUUUUUUUUGUUAAGGUAGAAAGCUUAAAUAAGAAGGAAGUAAAUUAAGUACUUGCGUCUAAACUCUAAAUACAAGAACUCAUACGAGAUUUGAUAUGUGACGUGAUAGAUUGUAUCUUGAUUUAAUUUAAUAAAAAUUUGCUUUAAAAAAAUGGAAGAGAUAAAUAGAAUCAAAAUUUGGUGAAAAUGAAAUAGAAAAGAUUUGGAGUGUGAAAAAAUCAAAAAAUUAUGGAUCUUUACCUAUAAAAAAUGCUAUUUUUUGUUUGUUUAUAAAGCUUGUGCAUAACCCUCAUAAUAUCCCGGUUGUUGUUGUUAUUUGGUGGUCCUGACGUUGGCGAAAUGAUCAUGGGAUGGGUGGUCAAUAAUGUUGUGUGUCAAGUUUUGAACGAUGUUGUGUGUUUGAGGUGAUGGUCUACUGUAUAUUGGCACUGCUUCCUUGACUAUAGUUGUGAACCUGUGUUAUUUUGCAUAUAGUAGCUUCAAUCUCAUCUCUAAGAGAAUGUGGUGCACUACAGUGCAAUUGUGAGAGAUGCUCAUGGUAAUUGGAUUUUCGAAGUGUCAGUUAGCUUUGGGUUUGGAAAUGAUUUCCUCACAGAAGUCUUAGCCAUAGAAAUUGGCUGGUGGCACAUAUGGGAUCUUGCCCAUAAGGCGGUUCUUUGUUACUCUGAUUGCUCGAAUUUGGUUGAUACAUUUCAUCAGAAUUUGGAUGUGUCGUAUUUCAUGGCGAUGAAUUCUAUUAUGAGGGUUCGAGUCUGGCUUGGUCGAGACUAGGAUGCUCGCAUUGCUUACAUUCUAGGGAGAAUAACAAUGUGUUAGAGAUAAAUAAGCAUAAUAUCCUACGAGAUAUUUCUUUAUUUAUUUAUUGAGUUAUUUUGUAAUAUGCCUUAGAAUAUUCUUAGCAUAUUAUGUACUUUCAUUAUUAUAAAUAACAUUGUCUACCUCACACACAAUUUUUGGUGAGAGUAUCUAAUCUUACAUGAUAUCAGGUUUAGGUUACAAACCCUAGCCUCCAAACCUAGUGCCACCACCUUUCUCUCCCUUUUUACUGGUCCAGCCGCCGCUCCCGCCAACCUCUAGGCAUCUCUGUUGUGCUCCUUCAUACUCAAAUUCUGGGCAAAUUGACGUUAUUUUUUGGUGCAGUCGUUCUUUUCUUUUUUUUGCAGCAGCCUCGUGUUUCGCGCUGCCAGACAGCCGUCAAACUUGUUGUCCACUCACCUUACGCGCCGCAGGUUUCUGUCACCUCACAUCUCGCGCCGCCAGACACCUUUCCUGCGCUACCAGACCUCAUGUUCCGCGUCGCUCCCUUGUCCAUGCAAGCCGCUUGCUUUUCCUUGUUUUCAACUCGCCGCCACACGUCUCUCUCUUGUUUCCUGUCGCCUCUUCUUGGGAUUCGACUGCCUUCAGCUUUCGGGAUCCGCGCUGGUUCCUUUUUCUGUGCCUGUUGACCGCUGCCAGUGCAUAACAGUUGAACUUUUCAACUUUUAAAUUAUCUUUUGUGUUGUCUUUUGACCAUUGAAUAUUUUUCAGAAUGGCCGACACACCUUCUCCUUUGUCUCUUCCAUUUUCUGUCUUGGUGCACAUGAUUACAGUGAAACUCAAACCAGAUAAUUUUCUCCUCUGGAGUAAACAGGUCACUGCUCUUCUUCAUAAUCAGAACUUGUAUGACAUUGUUGAUACUACAGUUGAUCCUCCGUCAGCAUUUAUCCACCAAACAUUUACACAAACAGGCACCCAACCGCUUCAUGAUGGUGCUUCUGCUCCGAAUCCUCUAUAUGCUCAGUGGCAGGCUCGCGAUCGUAAUGUCAACAAUCUGCUUCUUUCCUCUCUGACUGAGGAGGUCUUAUCUGAAACUCUUAGUGCAACCACUGCUCGUGAUGUUUGGGUUGCUCUCCACUCUGCUUAUGCUUCACGAAGCAAGGCACAUGAACUCCGUCUCCUUGAUGAACUUCAGCUCAUGCGUCGUGGCUCUCUAUCUGUUUCUGAAUACGGAAGAAAAUUCCGCACUAUUUGUGACCAAUUGACUGCUAUUGGUGCAAUUGUUCCUAAUGAUGACAAAGUUCAUUGGUUUCUUCAUGGUCUUGGCUCCUCCUAUGCAAAUUUUUCCACGGGUCAGCUUGAUCAACUACCCCCACCUCUCUUUACUGAUAUUCUUUGUAAAGUCGAGAGCCAUGCUAUUUUUCAGGCUUCUCUUGAGGAAUCAAUGAUCCCUCCACCUGCGAGCCAUCAACCACGCUCUUCUGGUAAUCCGUCUUCUAAUAGUGGCAACUCUAGUGGAGGAUCUCGUCAGCAUCGCAAUAAUGGUGGCUCUAGUCGUCGUGGCUCUUAUACUCCUCGUUGUCAAAUUUGUCGUGAGCAGGGUCACUAUGCUGAUAAAUGGUCGGUUCGCUGGGCUCGUCAUUCUGAGUCUACAAAUUUGGCACAAUCAUUUGCUGCAAGUUAUUCGUUAAACAACUCAAACCGGUUCGAUUGGUAUAUGGAUACGGGUGCUACCUCACAUAUGACUCAUUCUCUAUCUCAGCUGACAGACUCUCAUGCCUGCUCUGGUAAUGAUCGUGUUCUUGUUGGUAAUGGAGCUGGUUUACCUAUUACUCAUAUUGGCUCUCGUUCUGUUUCCCAUUAUGUAUAUUUAUCUAAUGUCUUGGUUGUGCCUCGACUAACCAACAAUCUUGUCUCUGUUAGCAAAUUGACUCGUGAACACAAUGCUAGAGCUAUUUUUCAGGAUGAUUCUUUUGUUAUUCAGAAUCGACAGACAGGCACCGUUUUGGGAAGAGGCCCAUGUGAUAAAGGGCUUUAUGUGCUUGACCAAGGAUCACAGGCGCUGCUUGCUUCCAGUUCUCCAUUACCUCGUACCUCUUUUGAAUUGUGGCACUCAUGGUUAGGACAUGUUAAUUUUGACAUUAUUCAACAAUUGCAUAAAAUUGGUUGCUUCAAUGUUUCCUCUAUUUUGCCGAAGCCUAUCUGUUGUACUUCCUGUCAGAUGGCUAAGAGUAAACGUCUAGUCUUCUAUGAUAAUCAUAAACGGGCUUCUGCAGUUUUAGACCUUAUCGAUUGUGAUUUGUGGGGACCGUCUCCCGUUGCUUCUGUUGAUGGAUUUUCUGACUUUGUUAUUUUUGUGGACGAUUUUUCCUGGUUUACUUGGUUUUUUCCAUUGAAGCGCAAGUCUGAUUUUUUUGAUGUACUUGUUCGAUUCAAAGCAUUUGUGGAAAACCAAUUCUUCCGGUCGAUCAAAGUUUUUCAAAGUGAUAAUGACACUGAGUUCACUAAUAACAAAGUCCAGGCUUUAUUUGCUUCUGCUGGUGUGCUUCAUCGGUUUUCAUGUCCUCAUACUCAGGCACAAAAUGGACGGGUUGAACGGAAACAUAGACAUGUUCUUGAGCUUUGUCUUGCUAUGUUAUAUCACUCACAUGUCCCUACUAGCUAUUGGGUUGACGCUUUUAGUACUGCGGUAUAUAUUAUUAAUCGUGUGCCUUCUAAGGUGUUAUCUGAUCAGAUUCCUUUCCAGCUCCUAUUUCAGGUUGCACCUACGUAUGCAAAUUUCCAUCCUUUUGGAUGUUGAGUGUUUCCGUGCUUGCGUCCCUACAUGAAAAAUAAAUUUAGUCCUCGGAGUACUCCUUCCAUAUUUCUGGGAUCCAGCAGUCACCACAAAGGAUUCAAAUGCUUCGAUCCGACUACUUCUCGCACUUAUGUGUCCCGUCAUGCUCAAUUUGAUGAAUUUUGCUUCCCUUUUGCAGGCUCAAACUCUUCUACCAAUGACUUGGUGGCCUCUACAUUUUAUGAAUCAGCUGCAGGUUCUUCUCCAUCUUCACAACCUGUUAUUCCUGUCGUUCCGGAGAGUUCCCCACCGACUGGUCCUCUACCUUGUCCAUCUUGUGCUGACCUAGAUGUUCAGCCGGUUCUUGCUAAUGAUGCACCACCUUGGCCAGUUCCUCACAAUGAUGCUCCACCUUCGCCGGCUCCUACUUCACCAGCACAACCGGCCACCCCUCCUGUUGCGACUCAGGCUCCGCCUACUUCACCGCCUACCACUCCUCCUGUUGUGGCUCAAGUUCCACUUGCUCCUAUUGAUGCUCGUCCGCGGACUCACUCUCAGAAUGGUAUUUUUAAGUCGAAUCUGCGUUAUGCCUUGGUUCACGCUCAGCCUACUGGCCUUCUCACUGCUUUGCAUACUAUUACUGAACCUAAGGGAUUCAAAUCUGCUAUGAAUCAUCCUCACUGGUUGGCAGCUAUGGAGGAUGAACUUUCUGCCCUUCAUAAGAAUUGUACUUGGACUUUGGUUCCUCGUCCUUCCACUACCAAUGUUGUUGGAAGUAAAUGGGUCUUUCGCACUAAAUUUCAUAGUGACGACACUGUUGAGCGCUUAAAAGCGCGUUUGGUGGCUCAGGGUUUCACCCAGAUUCCAGGGUUUGAUUACUCUCUUACUUUCAGUCAUGUUGUCAAAGCUAUUACUGUACGCCUUAUUUUAUCUCUUGUUGUGCUUAAUGAUUGACAGCUUCAUCAGUUGGAUGUCAAAAAUGUUUUCCUUCAUGGUCAUCUCACUGAAACUGUUUAUAUGGAGCAGCCUCCUGUAUUUGUUGAUCCUCGUUUCCCGACUCAUGUGUGUCGGUUGAACAAGGCUCUCUACGGCCUCAAACAGGCACCUCGUGCUUGGUUUCAGCGCUUGAGCUCCUUUCUCCUGCGUUAUGGUUUUUCGUGUAGUCGGGCUGAUCCAUCCUUGUUCUUUUUCUGCAAAGAACAUAUUACUCUUUAUCUUCUUGUGUAUGUGGAUGACAUCAUUCUUACUGGUAGUGAUCCCACUCUUCUGACUCAGUUUAUUGCUCGUCUUAAUGCUGAGUUCGCCAUUAAAUAUCUGGGUAAGCUUGACUACUUCCUUGGUCUUGAGAUCACUUAUAUUGUUGAUGGCUUGUUCUUGGGACAGGCCAAAUAUGCACAUGAUUUGCUUUCUCGUGCUAUGAUGCUUGAGGCCAGUCAUGUUUCGACGCCCCUGGCUGCUGGUUCUCAUCUUGUCAGUUCCGGUGAGGCUUACUCAGAUCCUACACAUUAUCGUUCUUUGGUUGGGGCCUUGCAGUACUUGACUAUUACUCGCCCUGACUUAUCGUAUGCUGUUAAUACCGUUAGUCAGUUCCUUCAGGCUCCGACUGUGGAUCAUUUUCAGGCUGUCAAACAGAUUCUUCGUUAUGUCUGUGGCAUGCAACACUUCGGUCUUACGUUUCAUCGCACCUCUUCCCCCGCUGUCCUUGGUUGUAAUGAUGCUGAUUGGGCUCGCUGCACGGGCACUCGCCGCUCGACUUAUGGCUACGCUAUUUUUCUUGGUGACAAUCUCUUGUCAUGGUGUGCCAAGAAACAACCUACUGUUGCUCGCUCUAGUUGUGAAUCUGAGUACCGCGCUAUGGCUAAUAUUGCUUCUGAGCUAGUUUGGUUGCUUAAUCUUCUUCAUGAACUUCGUGUUUGGUUAUUAGCGACUCCUCUUCUUCUUAGUGACAACCAGAGUGCUUUGUUUAUGGCUCAAAAUCAUGUUGCUCAUAAGCAUGCCAAACACAUUGACUUGGAUUGUCACUUCAUUCGUGAGUUGGUUUCCUCUGGUCGACUAGCUGUUCGCCAUGUGCCCACUUCUCUCCAACUUGCUGAUAUUUUCACUAAGGCCUUGCCUCGUCCGUUGUUUGACCUUUUUAGAUCCAAGCUUCGAGUUGGUCUUAAUCCAACGCUAAGUUUGACGGGGGGUGUUAGAAAUAAAUAAGCAUAAUAUCCUACGAGAUAUUUCUUUAUUUAUUUAUUGACUUAUUUUGUAAUAUGCCUUAGAAUAUUCUUAGCAUAUUUUGUACUUUCAUUAUUAUAAAUAACAUUGUCUACCUCACACACAAUUUGUGGUGAGAGUAUCUAAUCUUACACAAUGCAACAGAUGCGUUAGCCUGACAAGCUUGCAGCGAUCACACUUUGCACCAUAUUUGGAGAAUACCUCGUCUAUUGUUACUCUGACCUUGUGCUGGAUGUGCUAGUCUAGUUUUAGCUGUUUUUUUAGUAUUUCUCUUGUAACAAAAAAAAUUUCAAUUCUAAGGUAUUAAUUUAACGGUAUUCUUCCGUGACAUGAGAUUUCAAAUGAUACUAGUGUCAUCUUUACUUAUUUUGCAAGUUGUCAAUCAUUUUAAAUUUUCUUAUUCUAAUGCUUAUUAUUUACUGUUUCUUUUCGUCUAUAUUUACUUAAAGUAAUAUAAUAUGUCAUACAUUGUUAAAGUAAUAUGUCAUACAUUGUUGUAUUUUUGUACCUUAGACAAGGUACCGAAGAAGCAUCAUUAAUUUAGUGAUGGGUAUUUAUAUUAAUAUUUCAAUAAGUGUCUAUGAAAAACAUAUAUUAAAAAUUGUGAUUAAUUUUAUUAAUUUUGAAAAAGUACGAUUAAUUUUAUUAAUUUUAGAAAAGUAUUAUUUAUUUUUCUAUAUUUCCCAUAAAAUAUAUUUUUAUUUCUCUUUAUUUACUCUUCUCAUAAAGGCAUUAUUAGAUGCUCUCUUUAAAUUCUAAUUGGUUAUAUAUAUAGAAAAAAUAUCUCUUUGAACAGUUAAACAUAUGUUUUUUUUUCGAAGAAUGUUAAACAUAUGUAUUGCCCGUUUAUUUAAUGGUUUCAGUUUUGUCAAAAUAAAUUGGGUCUAGUUAUGUACCAAAAAAAACUUGGGUUUAGCUUUUGUGAACCAUCUAUUAAUUUUGUUUGGCUAUUAAAAAUCAGUUUUAACUACGGUUUGAAUAUAUAUUAACCCAAACUUUGUGUAAGUAAUUUGGGACCUGAUUUCAAAAAAAAAAAUUUGGGACCUAAAUUUUCAACCCAUCAACCCUAGCUUGUCAAAAGGAUUUUUGAGAAUUCAAAGCCAUAUUCUUCAUUUCAUAAUUUUUUUUUGUACUAGUGAGUCAACCCGCCAUUAAGCGGGACGAAUUGACUUUUCUAACUCACAUUCUCUGGAGCGCCAACUCACUCUGAUCUGCUUUAGGCAGGUUGAGGGAUAGACAAGGCAAGGCGAGUUGACCCAAAUUGCCACCCCUAUGACAAACACAAUUAAUUUCCUACUUUUAAAAAUUAAGAAGGUUCAGCUAAUUAAUCUAUAACAAAGUCAAUGUGGUUCAAGAAGAUUAUUAUCACUAGGAAGGUGUGAACUAGAACUUAAAUCUUGAACCUCACAUGACAAUAGCAAAGUUCGCGGUGAGUGGUCAUGACGGUUGGGCUAGGACGUAGCGAUGAAGGUGGUGACGACGGGUUCACGAGCAAAGCAACUACAAGGACUUCUCCGGCAGCGAGGCUAGAGCUCUUCUCCUUUCAUAUGUAAAACAAAAACCUUAACCAAGACCAACUAAGUAUGACAUUGAGAGAGACAUCUAGACUACACUGAGGCGAAAUUUUAUUCUUUUUUCAACAAACUUCUCUCCUCUUUUGGAUGGGCAUGGAUUUAAAGAAAAAAAGAGAUGAGGUUUGAAUUAGGGAACCCAUCACCCUUAAAAAAUAGUUGAACUCGACGAGUUAACUAGCCCCUCCCAUUGCAAAACCACCAAGCUUGUUGGCUGAAUGUGGCGGGUUUUGUGAGUUGGCGAGCUAGAUUGUCUGACUCACUUUCCUAGCAGGUUGGCUCAGCAGGUUGAACCCACAUUGUCACCCCUAACAAAGGUUCAGGUUUACUACUCCAACUGAAAUGUCAUUCCAUUAUCCUAUUUUUAUUUUUUUUUCACAAAAAGAGAAAUUAUCAAUAUUCAUUAUUCAAUCAUGCUAGUGAUUAGGGCUUGAUAAAUUCAGAUUUGUCCCAUCUUUCUCUUUGAGUCUAAAAAGAAAUUAAAGAAGAAAAUUGUCACCUCACAUUUUGCUAUAAAAAGUUCCAAUUAGCUACCAGGUACUUAUUUAGCUAGCUAAUGACAAUCCUCGAGGCUUCUCAACAAGAAAGUCCAUGGGGGGAUUUUCUUCUGAGUCUGAGUGAUUUUCACUAAUGCCACCCAAUUAUGGUACCUCCGUCCGGAAUUAUUGGGGUUUCGUGCGUAGUAAACAAGUACAUAGCGUGCCAUGUGAUGUUUGUUCUUAUAGGUUAAGCAAAGACCAGUUUUCAACUUCACUCAUUAUUGCUUGUAAUUUAAAACCAUACAUGUAAGAUGCCAUGUGGCAACACUUGUACUGAAUUGUAGAAAAAGCUGCAAUCAAAUAUGGAUAUACUACUACAAGAUGCCCCAUUAAUAUAACUACGUUCCAUUAUUUUAUGACGAAACAGUGAAACACUUUCACCGUCAUGAUUCAUGCACACUAGAUCUAACAAUGCAUAGCCCACAGAAAAUGCUAGUAUGCAAUGCAAACAAUAAUAAUUCAGCAUUGAAGUUUCUUCUUUUGGUCUUUGCUAAUAAUCCCAUGUGUAACUAUGAAAAGGAGAAACAAAGAGCUUAUAGGAUAGAGUUUGGAAAAAAAAAGUCAAAACGGUGAAACUGAACAUCUCAUGUAAAGCAACAGAGUCUACAGACUAGCCAACCAGGUGAGGCUAUAUAUUAUACACCAACUAGAUAUGCACACACAUAUAUCUGAGUUAUCAACAAAAUCUAAGCAAGUCCCAACCCUACAUGCCUCUCCUCAAUUGACUCCAAAAUAAAAAAGUAAUGAUCUCCUAGUCUAGAAGUUCAAAAUCUAAAACAUCCCCAAAUGUUAGUAAAGACUAAAGACCAUUACUGAGACCAUCACAAAGGCAGAAACUACAAAAACAGAAGACCACAUAGCGCGAUUGGAAGAAGCUUUUGAUAUGCAAGGCACCCUUCUGAGCAGUAACAAGUCUUUCAACACCUUGGUGGAGGAACCUGCAUUUGAACCUCUUUGAUAAAUCUUUCUAUUGUUUGUUGACUUAGGUGUCUUUGGCAUUGCUUUCACAUGAUUAGUAAGAGUAUCAUCUUCAUCAGCAGCAAGACUUUCUGAAGCUUUCUUCUCCUACAAAAGAGAAACAAUCUUACAACACAUGCAGGCAGAGACAAUCUCUUCGACACGCGAGCUAAUUAAACAGAAUUCUUACCACUGCAGUGAUUGGUUUUGAAUUACGAUCUUCUUGUGCACGUCUCCCACCUUUCACCACCCGACUUGAGCCGUGUGCGCUCUUUAACAAACGGAUUCUCCUAUUUGCAGAACCUUGAUUUAUGUUUGUGUUCACAAGUUCAUUUUGCGCUUGUCGAGCCCUUAUUAUGAUUCCAGUAUCACCACCAGUAGCUACAUUCCAAUUUCUCGGUUGCUCAUAAUCAUUCACAACGUUGUACACUUGGCCCAUACUAACAUCGGAUGAAAAGGUCAUCUGGGCAGCAUUUUGAUUUUGAAAUAACCCAACAUUGCUCUUCUGCUCAUCGCCACUAUGGUCAAAGGGGACGCCAACGGGGCUGAAAAACUCUGGCGCUGUCCCCAAAGGAAUCUUCAUGUCAAUUGCCUCCUCAGGAUACG
RNAcentral lists this long non-coding RNA (17058 nucleotides) under Lotus japonicus. Its description in RNAcentral is "long non-coding RNA (LJAP_LNC001034)". The record is from RNAcentral. Lineage: Eukaryota; Viridiplantae; Streptophyta; Magnoliopsida; Fabales; Fabaceae.